GGGAGAUUCAUAAUGUGUAUUUGUAUUUUUGUGAUUCAAUAAUCAACAAAAACUGUUUUUGGGUGUAAUCAAAUAUCUUAUGUUUGAUAAACCGCCAAGAAAAUAUUGUCUCGCGAACAUUUAAGCUGAUGUAGAGGUAGUGUAAGAGCAAUCUCUUGUUGUAAUGGUAUUUGAUGAAUGUGUGAGUGGUUGGCUUUCGUUUGUAUCUUCAUACUUGUCUCUUAACCCUUGAAAGUUGAAAAGAUCAUAAUCAUCAUAGAAUCUUGAUUCCAUUGUAAACUCAGGGAGGUCAAGAUGAUUUUCAAGAAUUUUGACUACAGCAGACAUGGUUGGCCUAAGUGCUGGAGAUGGACUGGUACAUAGCAAAGCUACAUUUAACAUCCUUAGAGCCUCGUCCUCGUUCAAAUCACUGCCCAAUGUUGCAUCUACUACUUCCUUCAGUUUUCCUUGUCUUUGUAGAACAAGAGCCCAAUCUAGGAGGCAGACAAAUUUCUCAUUGGGGCGAUAUGUCAUGUUGCUUUUCCCAGCAGCAAUCUCUAAUGCAAGAACUCCAAAACUGUAGACAUCUGCUUUGUAGGUCAAGUAGCCCCAUAGUGCAUAUUCAGGGGCCAUAUAUCCUAUGGUUCCGGCAACUCUAGUGGUAAUGUGUGUGUUGUUAUCAUCAUCAUCAAGUCUGGCCAGACCAAAGUCUGAGAUUUUCGGAUUUAGUUUCUUGUCAAGAAGUACAUUCGUUGCUUUGAUGUCUCUAUGGACAAUUUUCAAUGACGAUUCUUCAUGUAGGAAAGAUAAGCCUUUUGCUAUCCCAAUACAGAUCUUUUGCCUGGUUGGCCAGUCUAUUUUGAGCCGAUGUUCUUCUGGACCAAAUAAAGCACGAGCCAGGCUAUUGUUCUCCAUGUACUCAUACACCAGUAGCAGGUGAUUCCGUUCAGCACAACAUCCAUAUAGUUGUACAAGAUUUGGGUGGUGUAAACUAGAGAUCAUACCUAUCUCAUUUACAAACUCACGCUUCCCUUGUUUCGAUUUGGAUGAAAGCUGCUUAACAGCAAUAACUGCGCCAUCUGAUAGUGUACCCUUGUAGACAGAUCCAAAACCACCUUCCCCGAUUUUAUUUGCAGCGUCAAAAUUGUUUGUGGCAGCUUUGAUUUGUCUGAUGGUAAACACACCAGUCAUUGAAUCUAGUCCUCUUGAUUCUUCUUCCUUUGCUAUCUUGUUUCUGUGUCUCUUCCAAGCAACAAAUGAUAUUGUCAAAAUGAGAAUUAAUAAGGACACCACUGAUCCAGCUAUGAUGGGAACCAACUUUUUGUAAUCAGGAGGGGGCUUGAAAUUAGCUUCAAAAGAGAUGGCAGAAACUAAAGGGCCAUAGCUUCCUCUUCUAGGGAGAGCAGCUGUUCCUUUCCCAGCAUACUGAAAGCGCACUUCUAGAGUGCUGUCUGCUACAGUUGCAUUGAACUUUAUCGUGAAAGGUUUAUCAACUCCUCCAGCAUCAGUUCUAAUAUCAAAAUCUUUGAGCUUCCUCUCACCCUGAAUAUAGACAUCAAAUAUCCGUUUUCCAAGACUUUGGAAAGAUCGAUUGUCUCUUAUAACAAUCUCUGCAAAGUGCAGUGUCACGGUGUAGUUUCCAUUUGCUAAACAACGUCCAUAGUAAGUCAGAGAUAAAGCUGAGAGCCGAGCUGUCGUGUACAGUUCAGAGUCAUUUCCCUUAAUGGCAGAUAUAUUAUUCGCCAGGUAGUCUUUUGCUGUUAUAAUCUUAUCCCAGAAGUAUCCACUGUUGCUGGCUCCCCAGCUCUCUUUCGAGGAAGUAAAUUUUGCAGCACCUGCUGAAUCUCUAUCUGCUUCGUAAACAGUGUCCCCAAUAGUCACACUCUUUCCACCACAAUUUAUGUGCACCGAAUACCAUUUCUUUGAACAUCUUGGCACACAUUUCCCAAAUUCUGAAUUUUUCGUUCCAUUAUAGCUUCUGAAUAAGUUCAGAGUUUCCUGACAAAUAGGCUCAGAGCUCUCACUGAAGUUGUUGUAAGACAGGUCUAUCAUGUGUUUGGAAUUUCGACUUUUGACCCAACCUGGAAUUGGCCCAGUAAGUCGAUUUCCUACCAGGUACAAGAAGUCCAACUUCUUUAGACUCUCAAGAUUUGGGAUCUGUCCUUCAAACUUGUUGAAACUUAGAUCUAGAAGUUUUAAUUUAGGCAUCUUAGUUAUGUAAGGAGGAAUCUUCCCAGAUAAAUUGCAAUUCCUCAAUAUCAAUCUAGUUAGGCGUGUCAUAUUCCCAAGCUGUGGAAAUUCUGAAGCACCUCCAGUCAAAUCAGUGAUUCUCAAUUCGAUCAUUUGAGUUGAGACAGAAAUGAUUGGAGCUAUAGGUCCUUCAAAACCAGAAGCUUGAAUCUCUCUGUUAACCAAGCAUAAAGUCUGAAACAACUUGCAUAAAUCUAGCUAUUGAACACUUUUAUAUGCAUCAAAUGGUUUGAAUAUGCUUACAAUCUUUGAAGGGUUUUAAAACUCUCUAAGUUAGGAAGUUUUCCUGUGAAGUUGUUACCUCUCAGCCUAAGUUCUUUCAAAUUAGUGAGUUUAUUGAGCUCCUCUGGUAGCUGACCUGUGAGAUUAUUAAAACUAAGAAUGAGAAUCUGUAGAUUAACCAUGCCUCCGAGUUCUUUUGGAACAGUUCCAUUAAACAUGUUACUUUCCAAUCUCAUAUAAACUAGUGAAGUCAUGUUUCCUAAGUACUUCGGAAUUGGUCCAGAUAGUUGAUUCAGCAUAAGAGACAUGGUUUCCAGUUUCAUCGAUGUCCAUUCAGGGGGAAUUGUACCACUCAAAUAGUUGCAUGAGAGAUCAAUUAUGGUGAGAUUUGGUAACUUCGCCAGGGAUGGAGGAAGAACACCAGCAAGAUCUUGUCCUUUGAGUAAUAUGCUUUGUACAUGACAAUAACCAUCAGGGGUAUCACAAUUGCAGGUUACAUUGCUCACGUACACUGACAAAGCGUCUGUUCCUGGUGUACUCCAACUUGUGCUCUCAUCACAAGGAUUCACAUCAAAAUCCCAAUCACUUUUCCCUAACUCUUCUCCUAUUUCUCUCAGAGCAUUCUUUUCUUCUUCAGGAAGAAGACCUCUGUUUUGUGCUUCGCAGAUUAGGAGUAAACUGAAGGCGAUGAGCAAAAAUGAACAACUACUGUAAUGUGAGGAUGACAUCAUCU
Molecule: unclassified non-coding RNA, 3184 nt
Filed under: Hevea brasiliensis (rubber tree)
Lineage: Eukaryota; Viridiplantae; Streptophyta; Magnoliopsida; Malpighiales; Euphorbiaceae
Source: RNAcentral